This 198-nucleotide unclassified non-coding RNA is filed under the name uncultured Helvellosebacina. RNAcentral's name for it is "sequence contains ITS2". The record is from RNAcentral. Lineage: Eukaryota; Fungi; Basidiomycota; Agaricomycetes; Sebacinales; Sebacinaceae.
UACGCUCACACUCUCUCUGAUUAUUUUAUUAGAGCGAGCGGUGGACUUGGAUGCUGCCUGGAACUUACUGUCAGGCUCAUCUCAAAUGAGUUAGUACGACUGCUAGUUAAACAUAGUACGGCGUGAUAACAUAACCCUCGCUGUUUUACGUCUGAUUAGGAGCCUGUGCUUCCAACCGUCCUCGGACAAUGACUGAUA